UACGACUACAUAUCAGGCAUAUCAAUAAGCGGAGGAAAAGAAACUAACUAGGAUUCCCUUAGUAACGGCGAGUGAAGCGGGAAGAGCUCAAAUUUGAAAUCUUCAAGGUUCUACCUUGACGAAUUGUAGUUUAAAGAAGUGUUUUCUGUUGAAGUUUCGGUAAAAGUUCUUUAGAAUAGGACAUCAUAGAGGGUGAGAAUCCCGUAUUUGACCGUUAUUUUCAGCUGUGUGAUACACUUUCAAAGAGUCGGAUUGUUUGGGAAUGCAGUCCAAAAUGGGUGGUAAAUUUCAUCUAAAGCUAAAUAUUGGCGAGAGACCGAUAGCGAACAAGUACCGUGAGGGAGAAGAUGAGAAGAACUUUGAAAAGAGAGUUAAACAGUACGUGAAAUUGUCAAGAAGGGAAGCGUUUGACACCAGUGUUGUUUUCUCGAAAAUCAAUUAAAAUAAUGGCUUGAUUUUGUGUUGUAUUGACCUUAAAAGCUUUCUUCACUUUUUUCAUGUCUAUUUUUAAUGCACUUUUCGUUUAACAAGUCAAGCAUCAGUUUCUUUUGUUGUAAAAAGGUCAUUGGAAGGUGGCUUUCUUUUCGGAGAAAGUGUUUAUAGCCUUUGACUCCUGCAAUCGGAGAGACUGAGGUCUGCAGCGUAGAUCCUUUUUGGAUUAGAUUCAUUUGUGCUAAGUUAUAGCUUUUUAUAGACAACAUGUUGACUAUAUUUAGUCUUGUAAGCUUACUCGCUUAUGUAAUUUUACCUACGCUUAGGAUGUUGAACGCGCACAGAGUCUC
Molecule: ribosomal RNA, 782 nt
Filed under: uncultured Neocallimastigales
Lineage: Eukaryota; Fungi; Neocallimastigomycota; Neocallimastigomycetes; Neocallimastigales
Description: partial large subunit ribosomal RNA
Rfam family: Eukaryotic large subunit ribosomal RNA
Source: RNAcentral